GAUGAGUUGUGUUUAGGGGUGAAAGGCCAAUCAAACCGGGAAAUAGCUGGUUCUCCGCGAAAUCUAUUUAGGUAGAGCGUCGACCGAAUACCCCAGGGGGUAGAGCACUGGAUGGGCUAGGGGGAUUUACCAUCUUACCAAACCUAACCAAACUCCGAAUACCCAAGAGUACUAUCCGGGAGACAGACGGCGGGUGCUAAGGUCCGUCGUCAAAAGGGAAACAGCCCUGACCUACAGCUAAGGUCCCCAAGUCAUCACUAAGUGGGAAAGCAUGUGGAACUUCCAAAACAACCAGGAGGUUGGCUUAGAAGCAGCCACCCUUGAAAGAGUGCGUAAUAGCUCACUGGUCAAGUGAUUGUGCGCCGAUAAUGUAGCGGGGCUCAAGCACACCGCCGAAGUCGCGGCAACGAGUACACCUUCGGGUGUGACGUUGGGUAGGGGAGCGUCCUGCACGCCGGUGAAGCCACCUAGUGAUGGUGUGGUGGAGGGUGUGGGAGUGAGAAUGCAGGCAUGAGUAGCGAUAAGGCAAGUGAGAACCUUGCCCGCCGAAAGACCAAGGGUUCCUGGGCCAGGCCAGUCCGCCCAGGGUGAGUCGGGACCUAAGGCGAGGCCGACAGGCGUAGUCGAUGGACAACGGGUUGAUAUUCCCGUACCCGUGUGUGCGCGCCCGUGAUGAAUCAGCGGUACUAACCGCCCAAAACUUCGAUCACCGAUCACCUUCGGGUGUGAGGGUUCGCAGGGCUGCGCGGGACCUUCGCUGGUAGUAGUCAAGCGACGGGGUGACGCAGGAAGGUAGCCAUACCAGUCAGUGGUAAUACUGGGGCAAGCCCGUAGGGAGAACGAUAGGCAAAUCCGUCGUUCACAUAUCCUGAGAGGUGAUGCAUAGCCGAGUGAGGCGAAUUUGGUGAUCCUAUGCUGCCGAGAAAAGCCUCUAGCGAGCACACACACGGCCCGUACCCCAAACCGACACAGGUGGUCAGGUAGAGAAUACCAAGGCGUACGAGUGAACUAUGGUUAAGGAACUCGGCAAAAUACCCCCGUAACUUCGGGAGAAGGGGGACCCCUUACUGUCAUGGCACGUGCUGCCGGCAGCGGUGGGGGGUCGCAGAAACCAGUGAGAAGCGACUGUUUACUAAAAACACAGGUCCGUGCGAAGUCGCAAGACGAUGUAUACGGACUGACGCCUGCCCGGUGCUGGAAGGUUAAGAGGACCGGUUAACCCCCUUGGGGGUGAAGCUGAGAAUUUAAGCCCCAGUAAACGGCGGUGGUAACUAUAACCAUCCUAAGGUAGCGAAAUUCCUUGUCGGGUAAGUUCCG
This 1317-nucleotide ribosomal RNA is filed under the name Gloeochaete wittrockiana. RNAcentral's name for it is "partial Bacterial large subunit ribosomal RNA". It matches the Rfam family "Bacterial large subunit ribosomal RNA", at positions 803 to 1985 of the family's 2925-position model. The record is from RNAcentral. Lineage: Eukaryota; Glaucocystophyceae; Gloeochaetales; Gloeochaetaceae.